UUUUGAGAAUUUUUAUUGAAUCUUGCGCAAAAUGAAGAUUCAAUUCUCGAUUUGACAACUAUGCUGUUAGCUUUUCUCUGUGGGAAAUUGUUUCAUAAUGCAUUUUUGCUGUGUGCUUCUUACAAUCCAAUGUCCCACCUAAAAGCAACCUCCAAAGAGAAGAGGGGCAAGGAGAGGAAAAUGAUCUCUAUUUGUCAGAUGGCAGUUGAGAUUUUGUGAGUGAAAUAUGAUGAGUUCACGUAAGACAUCCUGCUGAUCUCAUUCCACUCCUUGUUCAGUUCAGUGAGCCAUAUGAAAUGCUAUCUGCAAGUCAUUCAUAUUGUGAUUUGUGAAAGCAUGUAUUGCUAAGAUAAGGAUGUUGUCAUAUUGAAUUGCAUCCAUUGCAUAAGUAUCUUCUUUCAAAAUUGAUAUUUGCAGAAACAAACGGAAAUACAAAGGCCUAGAUGAACCUUCUGCUUUAUGCAUGGCCAUGGAAGGCGUUAAAGCAUUCAAUGGUUUGGAGUGUAAGAUUGCCUGUAAUUCAUAUAAGAUUUCCUAUGUUCUGGACACGGAGGAUUUCUUUUAUCGAUUAAGAAAGAAAAGAAGGAAUUCAUCACAGGUCAAAUCUUUGUAUCAUGAUCAGGUUCAGGCAAGAGUACAUCGCUUCCACAGAUUCUUAUCAUCAUGAUGAUAAUUCCUGAUUUCCAUUUUGCUAGUCAAGAAGUCCUUGGCACGCCCCAAAGGUAUAGACUUUCUUGAGAUAACUCCCUCUGGUAUUAUACUAAUUUGUGAAGUGACAACUCAAGAAAGGGAAUGACUCAUGAAUGGUUUAAGGGCACGCGUUUGAGCCAUUGUUGUGUAAAUAGGGUUGACGGAUGAAAUUUUUAUAUAAAUGUAUUUUAUUGUUCAUGUCUUCUAGGUAGGAGUUCAUCUUUCUUCCUUUUUUUUCCCCCACAUUAACAGUUUGUGUCGCUUACCGUUUGUGGACACUUCACCUAAUUAAGUUCCCACGGUAGAACCUACUUGAAUUUGUAAGCAUAAGAAAAUGAUGAGACAGGGAAAAUAACAGAAGUUAUCUAUGUAAAGCUCCCAGUUUUCUUUCCUAGGCAUUUUGUUUUGCAGUACAUUAAGCAUCAGCAAUUUUGUUGGUAGAUUUGAAGAUAUUGUACUUGCACUUUCUCUCCAUUUCUUUCCCUUUUUUAUUUUUUGGGUUUUAUUUGAUUUGGUGAAAUUAUAUGAUAUUGUAGGCUCAAGGGAUAUUGAUUUGGUGGGCAGUGAUGAGGAUUUGGAGAAAGUCAUGCACCACUCUGAUUUCCUGUGCUGAUAAAUCUCUCAUACCCAUAUACUUCUGAGCCUAAUCGUCCUUGAUCCUUAUCUGUGUGUGUUGUUUGUUUGUGUUUUGUAAAGAAGGAACCAAGUGAUGGGGUCGUGUGACCUGAACCAUGAUGCGGACCGUACAGCAAUCUUCCAUUGCUUCUGGGGAUAACUUUUGGUUUCUGAUGGUUCCUUCUUCAUUCUUCAAUGGCUUUUGCUUUCCAUUCUUAUAUUUAUGCAUUUGUUUCUUAGUUUUACUUCAUUUUUUUUUCUUAAUUAACAUUGGAUGAAUAAAUAUGUGCAAGCAUUUUCAUCUGAUUGAAUUUGGAUUAACAAGAAAUUGAUUAUUCUCUAAUUUUAUAUCACCCAACCUCUUGGAGAGAGAUGAAAUCCAGCUUUAGGAUCUCAAGGAUUUGCAAAUUUAUGAUCCAAUUGGUUUAUUUCUUAAGGAAUUUUAGUCUACAAUUCUGCUUGAAAUGAAAA
This 1776-nucleotide unclassified non-coding RNA is filed under the name Hevea brasiliensis (rubber tree). The stretch from base 1249 to 1335 matches the Rfam family "Small nucleolar RNA Z221/R21b". The record is from RNAcentral. Lineage: Eukaryota; Viridiplantae; Streptophyta; Magnoliopsida; Malpighiales; Euphorbiaceae.